CAGUAGCCGCGGUAAAACGGAGGGUGCAAGCGUUAAUCGGAAUUACUGGGCGUAAAGCGUGCGUAGGCGGUUCGUUAAGUCUGUUGUGAAAGCCCCGGGCUCAACCUGGGAAUGGCAAUGGAUACUGGCGAGCUAGAGUGUGUCAGAGGAUGGUGGAAUUCCCGGUGUAGCGGUGAAAUGCGUAGAGAUCGGGAGGAACAUCAGUGGCGAAGGCGGCCAUCUGGGACAACACUGACGCUGAAGCACGAAAGCGUGGGGAGCAAACAGGAUUAGAUACCCGUGUAGUCCCUGUCUCUUAUAC
This 301-nucleotide ribosomal RNA is filed under the name uncultured bacterium. RNAcentral's name for it is "partial 16S ribosomal RNA". It matches the Rfam family "Bacterial small subunit ribosomal RNA", at positions 509 to 807 of the family's 1533-position model. The record is from RNAcentral.